This 494-nucleotide ribosomal RNA is filed under the name uncultured bacterium. RNAcentral's name for it is "partial 16S ribosomal RNA". It matches the Rfam family "Bacterial small subunit ribosomal RNA", at positions 28 to 507 of the family's 1533-position model. The record is from RNAcentral.
GACGAACGCUGGCGGCGUGCUUAACACAUGCAAGUCGAACGGUGAAGCGCCUUCCUUUUUGGUGGGUGUGGAUGAGUGGCGAACGGGUGAGUAACACGUGAGUAACCUGCCCCCUUCUUCUGGAUAACCGCAUGAAAGUGUGGCUAAUACGGGAUAUUCUGGGUCUGUCGCAUGAUGGGUCUGGGAAAGAUAUUGUUUCGGUGGGGGAUGGGCUCGCGGCCUAUCAGCUUGUUGGUGGGGUGAUGGCCUACCAAGGCGGUGACGGGUAGCCGGCCUGAGAGGGUGGACGGUCACACUGGGACUGAGACACGGCCCAGACUCCUACGGGAGGCGGCAGGGGGGAAUAUUGCACAAUGGGCGCAAGCCUGAUGCAGCGACGCCGCGUGAGGGAUGGAGGCCUUCGGGUUGUGAACCUCUUUCGCCAGUGAAGCAGGCCUGCCUCGUUUGUGGGUGGGUUGACGGUAGCUGGAUAAGAAGCGCCGGCUAACUACGUG